RNAcentral lists this ribosomal RNA (617 nucleotides) under uncultured bacterium. Its description in RNAcentral is "bacterial SSU rRNA". It matches the Rfam family "Bacterial small subunit ribosomal RNA", at positions 55 to 667 of the family's 1533-position model. The record is from RNAcentral.
AUGCAAGUCGAGCGGAUGAGAAGAGCUUGCUCUUCGAGUUAGCGGCGGACGGGUGAGUAAUGCCUAGGAAUCUGCCUGGUAGUGGGGGACAACGUUUCGAAAGGAACGCUAAUACCGCAUAACGUCGCAAGACCAAAGAGGGGGACCUUCGGGCCUCUUGCCAUCGGAUGUGCCCAGAUGGGAUUAGCUAGUAGGUGGGGUAACGGCUCACCUAGGCGACGAUCCCUAGCUGGUCUGAGAGGAUGACCAGCCACACUGGAACUGAGACACGGUCCAGACUCCUACGGGAGGCAGCAGUGGGGAAUAUUGCACAAUGGGCGCAAGCCUGAUGCAGCCAUGCCGCGUGUAUGAAGAAGGCCUUCGGGUUGUAAAGUACUUUCAGCGGGGAUGAAGGGAGUAAAGUUAAUACCUUUGCUCAUUGACGUUACCCGCAGAAGAAGCACCGGCUAACUCCGUGCCAGCAGCCGCGGUAAUACGGAGGGUGCAAGCGUUAAUCGGAAUUACUGGGCGUAAAGCGCACGCAGGCGGUUUGUUAAGUCAGAUGUGAAAUCACCGGGCUCAACCUGGGAACUGCAUCUGAUGCUGGCAAGCUUGAGUCUCGUAGAGGGGGGUAGAAU